RNAcentral lists this ribosomal RNA (253 nucleotides) under uncultured bacterium. RNAcentral describes it as "partial 16S ribosomal RNA". It matches the Rfam family "Bacterial small subunit ribosomal RNA", at positions 524 to 776 of the family's 1533-position model. The record is from RNAcentral.
GACGAACCGUGCGAACGUUGUUCGGAAUCACUGGGCUUAAAGGGCGCGUAGGCGGGCACUCAAGUCUGUGGUGAAAUCCGGCAGCUUAACUGUCGAACUGCCGUGGAUACUGGGUGUCUCGAGGGAGGUAGGGGCGUGCGGAACUGAUGGUGGAGCGGUGAAAUGCGUUGAUAUCAUCAGGAACUCCGGUGGCGAAGGCGGCACGCUGGACCUCUUCUGACGCUGAGGCGCGAAAGCCAGGGGAGCAAACGGG